AACCACCCACUCCCGCCCGGAACCCAAUCAAAUCGUUUAGCCGCUCAUCAUUAUCCGCGCCCGAUGAUUCUCCAGUUCAACUCGUGCGACGCCGUGCAUCGUCGAAGCUGUCAAUCAUCACAACACAAAAAAUGUCCAGAGGCUCUUUAGAAGCAGCACAUCUUCUUGGAGAUGUGUUUCUUGAUCAUAUGCUGAAAGAGGAAAAUAAUCAAGCCA
Long non-coding RNA from Onychostoma macrolepis, 216 nucleotides. RefSeq lists it as uncharacterized. The transcript has 3 exons. The record is from RefSeq and is a predicted model, not a curated record. NCBI's taxonomy places the organism in Eukaryota, Metazoa, Chordata, Actinopteri, Cypriniformes, Cyprinidae.